This 467-nucleotide ribosomal RNA is filed under the name uncultured bacterium. Its description in RNAcentral is "partial 16S ribosomal RNA". It matches the Rfam family "Bacterial small subunit ribosomal RNA", at positions 28 to 507 of the family's 1533-position model. The record is from RNAcentral.
GACGAACGCUGGCGGCGUGCUUAACACAUGCAAGUCGAACGGAAAGGCCCUGCUUUUGUGGGGUGCUCGAGUGGCGAACGGGUGAGUAACACGUGAGUAACCUGCCCUUGACUUUGGGAUAACUUCAGGAAACUGGGGCUAAUACCGGAUAGGAGCUCCUGCUGCAUGGUGGGGGUUGGAAAGUUUCGGCGGUUGGGGAUGGACUCGCGGCUUAUCAGCUUGUUGGUGGGGUAGUGGCUUACCAAGGCUUUGACGGGUAGCCGGCCUGAGAGGGUGACCGGCCCCAUGGGGCUGGGGUUCCGGCCCGAAUCCUUCGGGGGGCAGGCGUGGGGGAUAUUGCACCAUGGGCGGAAGGCCGAUGGCGGCACCCCGCCUUGCGGGUGAACGCCUUCCGGUUGUAAACCCCCUUUGGCUUUGAACAAGGGUUAGGUGACGUAAUUGGUAAAGAAGCACCGGCUAACUACGUG